UACGAAGGGGGCUAGCGUUGCUCGGAUUUACUGGGCGUAAAGGGCGCGUAGGCGGACAGUUUAGUCAGAGGUGAAAGCCCGGGGCUCAACCUCGGAAUAGCCUUUGAUACUGGCUGUCUUGAGUAUGGAAGAGGUAUGUGGAACUCCGAGUGUAGAGGUGAAAUUCGUAGAUAUUCGGAAGAACACCAGUGGCGAAGGCGACAUACUGGUCCAUUACUGACGCUGAGGCGCGAAAGCGUGGGGAGCAAACAGG
Molecule: ribosomal RNA, 253 nt
Filed under: uncultured bacterium
Lineage: Bacteria
Description: partial 16S ribosomal RNA
Rfam family: Bacterial small subunit ribosomal RNA
Source: RNAcentral